This is a non-coding RNA of Coffea arabica (coffee), 873 nucleotides long. Lineage: Eukaryota; Viridiplantae; Streptophyta; Magnoliopsida; Gentianales; Rubiaceae. The record is from RefSeq and is a predicted model, not a curated record.
AGGUCAAAAGUUUUUGGGUAGAAAAACUAAGAAAUCUUGCCUAGAUUGGUGCCGCAAAGCCUUAAACUAUUGCUGUCAUCGAACUGCGGUGGAGAGAGAAAAUAUUAGUUUAGCAGACAAAUGCAUUGAGCCCAGAGAGUCCGCAUCUCAGAAAUUUCAUAAUCUCCUUGGCUGCCUUCAUCCGGGGAAGCUGGUAUCGACAGUGAAUCGGCAUUAAUUCCAGCUUUUCAUGUUUCUGCUUUAACAAGCAAUAGCAUGUUGUUGUUUCUCUACUUCAUUCUAUAUAAACCGAGUGUUUUUCACUGCUCAAUUCAUCAACUAACAACAUUUCCACAACAGUAUCUAGUUCUUCUUGCCAGAUUCCACUGACCAUUAUGGCCCUGAAGUCUGCGCUCUUUCUUCUGGCCUUCCUGCUCCUAGUUAGCACCAAGGUCACAUCAAUGGAAGAGGAUAUCCUCACAGAGCAUCGUCAUGGUGCCAAAUCCCCUGCUCAUGCACCAGUAAAGCCGCCGGUCCCCUCACCAAAGAAGGCUCCAGUGUACCCACCAGAGAAGGCUCCGCCUAUCCCCUAAGAAAGCUCCCACCUAUCCCCAAAGGUGGCUCCAAUUUAUCCGCCCAAGAAGGCUCCUGCAUACCCUCCCAAAAUUUCUCCAGUUCAUUCCCCGUCUAAGCAUAACCAUGGUGACUGUGUCAAAUUGUGCAUGGAAUACUGCCAGAAGGCGGAGUCGAAAAGGGGAUGCCUGAGGAUUUGCGUACCCUGCUGCGACCAGUACCAGUGCGUCCCCGGACGUCCGGAGAAGAAGUGCGUCACCUGGGACAAAGUGUGGUACCAUAACGACUACCCCUGCCCCACCCCAAGAAAUAUUAAAUCGU